GAGGGUAUAGUUCAGUGGUAAGAGUGCCUGUUUAGCAUGCAUGAGGUCGUGGGUUCAAUCUCCAGUACCUCCA
Molecule: transfer RNA, 73 nt
Organism: Camelus ferus (Wild Bactrian camel)
Lineage: Eukaryota; Metazoa; Chordata; Mammalia; Artiodactyla; Camelidae
Rfam family: tRNA
About the family: Transfer RNA (tRNA) molecules are approximately 80 nucleotides in length.
Source: Rfam